AAGAGAAUGAUUAAACAAUUAAAAGCUUUCUUUAAUUGAAUAAUUGAAUUUAAUUUUUUAGUGCAAAAGCAAAAAUAAAAAUUAGGGACAAGAAGACCCUAUGAAUUUUUUAUUAAAUUUUAUAAAACUUUAUAUAAAAUUUAAUUUAAUUGGGGUGAUGGAAAAAGAAUAAAUAUCUUUUUUUUAAAAAAAAUUGGUUCCGUUUUUAGCGAUUAAAUGAAAAAAAUACUCUAGGGAUAACAGCGUAAUAAUUUUGGAUAGUUCAUAUAGAUAAAAUAGUUUGCGACCUCGAUGUUGGAUUAGGAUUCUUUUUUGGUGAAGAAGUUAAAAAAAGAAGUUUGUUCAACUUAUAAUUUCCU
This 359-nucleotide ribosomal RNA is filed under the name Ixodes ricinus (castor bean tick). RNAcentral describes it as "partial large subunit ribosomal RNA". The stretch from base 236 to 359 matches the Rfam family "Bacterial large subunit ribosomal RNA", at positions 2473 to 2597 of the family's 2925-position model. Lineage: Eukaryota; Metazoa; Arthropoda; Arachnida; Ixodida; Ixodidae. The record is from RNAcentral.